CGUAUUGACUGCAUCGCGUGUCGCCCUUUUCCGGUUGAUCCUGCCGGACCCGACUGCUAUCAGAAUAGGACUAAGCCAUGCGAGUCAACGUACAGAUAGUAGCAAUACUAUGUAUGUACGUGGCAUACGGCUCAGUAACACGUAGUCAACAUGCCCAGGGGACGUGGAUAACCUCGGGAAACUGAGGAUAAACCGCGAUAGGCCAAGGCUUCUGGAAUGAGCCAUGGCCGAAAUCUACAUGGCCUUUGGAUUGGACUGCGGCCGAUCAGGCUGUUGGUGAGGUAAUGGCCCACCAAACCUGUAACCGGUACGGGCUUUGAGAGAAGGAGCCCGGAGAUGGGCACUGAGACAAGGGCCCAGGCCCUAUGGGGCGCAGCAGGCGCGAAACCUCUGCAAUAGGCGAAAGCCUGACAGGGUUACUCUGAGUGAUGCCCGCUAAGGGUAUCUUUUGGCACCUCUAAAAAUGGUGCAGAAUAAGGGGUGGGCAAGUCUGGUGUCAGCCGCCGCGGUAAUACCAGCACCCCGAGUUGUCGGGACGAUUAUUGGGCCUAAAGCAUCCGUAGCCUGUUCUGCAAGUCCUCCGUUAAAUCCACCCGCUUAACGGAUGGGCUGCGGGGGAUACUGCAGAGCUAGGAGGCGGGAGAGGCAAACGGUACUCAGUGGGUAGGGGUAAAAUCCAUUGAUCUACUGAAGACCACCAGUGGCGAAGGCGGUUUGCCAGAACGCGCUCGACGGUGAGGGAUGAAAGCUGGGGGAGCAAACCGGAUUAGAUACCCGGGUAGUCCCAGCUGUAAACGAUGCAGACUCGGUGAUGGGUUGGCCUCGAGCCAACCCAGUGCCGCAGGGAAGCCGUUAAGUCUGCCGCCUGGGGAGUACGGUCGCAAGACUGAAACUUAAAGGAAUUGGCGGGGGAGCACCACAAGGGGUGAAGCCUGCGGUUCAAUUGGAGUCAACGCCGGGAAUCUUACCGGGGGCGACAGCAGAGUGAAGGUCAAGCUGAAGACUUUACCAGACAAGCUGAGAGGAGGUGCAUGGCCGUCGCCAGCUCGUGCCGUGAGGUGUCCUGUUAAGUCAGGUAACGAGCAAGAUCCCUGCCUCUAGUUGCUACCACUGCUCUCAGGAGCAGAGGGGCUAAUUAGAGGGACCGCCGCCGCUGAGGCGGAGGAAGGAGGGGGCUACGGCAGGUCAGUAUGCCCCGAAACCCUCGGGCCACACGCGGGCUGCAAUGGUAAGGACAGCGGGCUCCGAUCCCGAAAGGGGGAGGCAAUCCCUCAAACCUUACCACAGUUAUGAUUGAGGGCUGAAACUCGCCCUCAUGAAUAUGGAAUCCCUAGUAACCGCGCGUCAACAUCGUGCGGUGAAUACGUCCCUGCUCCUUGCACACACCGCCCGUCGCUUCACCGAAGCUGGUUCUUGGCGAGGUGGCGCCUAAUUGGCGCUAUCGAACCUGGGGUCAGCAACGGGGGAGAAGUCGUAACAAGGUAACCAAGGGCGACACGCGAUGCAGCGAGCCUCAGACACUC
RNAcentral lists this ribosomal RNA (1523 nucleotides) under uncultured archaeon. RNAcentral's name for it is "bacterial SSU rRNA". It matches the Rfam family "Archaeal small subunit ribosomal RNA". The record is from RNAcentral.